This 511-nucleotide ribosomal RNA is filed under the name uncultured bacterium. Its description in RNAcentral is "bacterial SSU rRNA". It matches the Rfam family "Bacterial small subunit ribosomal RNA", at positions 17 to 518 of the family's 1533-position model. The record is from RNAcentral.
UUAUGGCUCAGGAUGAACGCUAGCUACAGGCUUAACACAUGCAAGUCGAGGGGCAGCAUUGGGAUAGCUUGCUAUUCAGAUGGCGACCGGCGCACGGGUGAGUAACGCGUAUCCAACCUUCCUGCCAGUAGGGAACAGCCCGGCGAAAGUCGGAUUAAUGCCCUAUGUUCUUCAAUGCGGACAUCUAAGUUGAAGGAAAGAUUCAUCGCUGGCAGAUGGGGAUGCGUCCGAUUAGCUUGCCGGCGGGGUAACGGCCCACCGGGGCGACGAUCGGUAGGGGUUCUGAGAGGAAGGUCCCCCACACUGGUACUGAGACACGGACCAGACUCCUACGGGAGGCAGCAGUGAGGAAUAUUGGUCAAUGGGCGUAAGCCUGAACCAGCCAAGUAGCGUGCAGGAUGACGGCCCUACGGGUUGUAAACUGCUUUUAUGCGGGGAUAAAGUGCGGCACGUGUGCCGCUUUGCAGGUACCGCAUGAAUAAGGACCGGCUAAUUCCGUGCCAGCCGCCGC